Atta colombica is the source of this 76-nucleotide small nucleolar RNA. It matches the Rfam family "Small nucleolar RNA U43". Lineage: Eukaryota; Metazoa; Arthropoda; Insecta; Hymenoptera; Formicidae. The record is from Rfam.
AUGAUGAUUUAGAUUAAAAGUUUAUGGUUUUCGUCCGAAUAAUCUUGACGAUAAUAUUCUAGGGCGGUCUGAUUUU